RNAcentral lists this ribosomal RNA (686 nucleotides) under uncultured Acidobacteriota bacterium. Its description in RNAcentral is "bacterial SSU rRNA". It matches the Rfam family "Bacterial small subunit ribosomal RNA", at positions 63 to 749 of the family's 1533-position model. Lineage: Bacteria; Pseudomonadati; Acidobacteriota. The record is from RNAcentral.
CGCGCAGUUUUCUGUAGCAAUACAGGGAAUGGGCGCGUGGCGAACGGGUGCGUAACACGUGGAUAACCUUCCUUGAGGUGGGGAAUAACCCAGUGAAAAUUGGGCUAAUACCGCAUAACAAUGCGAUGGCACAUGCUGUUGCAUUCAAAGGCGCAAGUCGCCACAAGAGGGAUCCGCGGCCGAUUAGCUUGUUGGCGAGGUAAUGGCUCACCAAGGCAAUGAUCGGUAGCCGGACUGAGAGGUUGGCCGGCCACACUGGAACUGAGACACGGUCCAGACUCCUACGGGAGGCAGCAGUGGGGAAUCUUGCACAAUGGACGAAAGUCUGAUGCAGCAACGCCGCGUGGGGGAUGAAGCUUCUCGGAGUGUAAACCCCUUUCGACCCGGACGAAUGCCCGCAAGGGUUUGACGGUACGGGUAUAAGAAGCCCCGGCUAACUACGUGCCAGCAGCCGCGGUAAUACGUAGGGGGCCAGCGUUGCUCGGAAUUACUGGGCGUAAAGGGUCCGUAGGCGGUGCGGCAAGUCGAUAGUGAAAUCUCUGGGCUUAACCCAGAGGCUGCUAACGAAACUGCCGUGCUAGAGUGUGAGAGAGGCGAGUGGAAUUACGGGUGUAGCGGUGAAAUGCGUAGAUAUCCGUAGGAACAUCCGAGGCGAAAGCGGCUCGCUGGAUCACAACUGACGCUGA